GAUGAACGCUGGCGGCGUGCCUAAUACAUGCAAGUCGAGCGAGAUGUUAGCGCAUGAACCUUCGGGGGAUUAUGCUAACGGAAAGCGGCGGACGGGUGAGUAACGCGUAGGCAACCUGCCCCUGACAGAGGGAUAGCCAUUGGAAACGAUGAUUAAAACCUCAUGACACCGUAGAAGCACAUGCUUCAUCGGUCAAAGAUUUAUCGGUCAGGGAUGGGCCUGCGUCUGAUUAACUAGUUGGUGAGGUAACGGCUCACCAAGGUGACGAUCAGUAGCCGACCUGAGAGGGUGAUCGGCCACAUUGGAACUGAGACACGGUCCAAACUUCUACGGAAGGCAGCAGUAGGGAAUCUUGCACAAUGGGCGAAAGCCUGAUGCAGCAACGCCGCGUGAAGGAUGAAGGCCUUCGGGUUGUAAACUUCUGUUCUAAGGGAAGAAACAAAUGACGGUACCUUAGGAGCAAGCCCCGGCUAACUACGUGCCAGCAGCCGCGGUAAUACGUAGGGGGCAAGCGUUAUCCGGAAUUAUUGGGCGUAAAGAGUGCGUAGGUGGUUACCUAAGCGCAAGGUUUAAUUUAGAGGCUCAACCUCUACUUGCCUUGCGAACUGGGCUACUUGAGUGCAGGAGGGGAAAGCGGAAUUCCUAGUGUAGCGGUGAAAUGCGUAGAUAUUAGGAGGAACACCAGCGGCGAAGGCGGCUUUCUGGACUGUAACUGACACUGAGGCACGAAAGCGUGGGUAGCAAACAGG
This 749-nucleotide ribosomal RNA is filed under the name uncultured Mogibacterium sp. Its description in RNAcentral is "bacterial SSU rRNA". It matches the Rfam family "Bacterial small subunit ribosomal RNA", at positions 28 to 776 of the family's 1533-position model. Lineage: Bacteria; Bacillati; Bacillota; Clostridia; Peptostreptococcales; Anaerovoracaceae. The record is from RNAcentral.